UUAUAACUCGGAUAAAUUCAUGUGUUUUCUUUUUUCACCCCAGACGCAUCAAAAGGCAUAUCCCUGACACCUGAUGACCACACCACGUGCUAAACUGUAAGCCUCUGCUUCAAAGCAUUAAGCCUGGAAGCAUGCUCUAUGGAAACUGGAAAUCCUGACAGGAGGAGUCACAAAAUGCUUCCUUGUCUGAUGUAAUGUCAUGGCAGCUGGCAUGAGAGUCUCUGAUAAUGGUGUGUGCAACACUUGCAUGAAGAUUGUAACAGAAACUGUGUAUUUUCAGAUGAAUGGCUUCAAUUUGUCCAUGUAAUAUUAUGUACAUAUGUCCUUCUGGCAGAACCAGGGGAUAGCUCUGAUUUUACCCUAAUAUGUUAUCACAGUUGUUCAUGACUUGAAUCUAAAUGUUAUUAAAUAUCAGCUCCCAUUUAGUACUUUACCAAAAAGAAGCAGCUCUGCCAGUGCCCAUUUUUAUUUAAUUUAACAAAAGGUAUGCACUAAACAGCUACAGAUUUCCAUUUUGAAAAUUACAGCACUGGAUUCCUCGAGCCACAGUCUAUAUUGGUAUAAAUCAGCAGAGCUGCGCUGAAGCCAGUAGCACUAUGUCACUUUGCAUAAUAAUCUGACCUCCUCAUUCUUGCCUCAAAACACUCAUAUGAUGUAGGCAAAGAUUACUAGGCUUUUAAUUUAGCUGGUCUGCUGUAUAGCUUCUCUCUGCUCUCAGGCUCUUAUUGCGCCUCUGUGGUCAGCAAAGGAACAUACAGCAAGAGAGAGAGAGAGACUGCAGCCGGGUUUAUUUUAAACAAUUUCUAAAAUCCAAACGAAUGUUGAGGCCAAGAGGAUGUUUUCCUUGGUGGCAGAAAUACAAGCAUCCUGGAUUCUGUUUUCCUGCUAAUAGGUAUAAAGACGAAUAAACAGCUGCUUUCUGUUUUCCCAAAAAUAUUUGCAUUAAGAUGAUCUGCAAAUUCCUGCUCAGAUUGAUGGAACAUCUCUUCAAAUGAGGACCAGCUGCUUGCUUUGUUUGUUUAUGGCAGGACAUGCUUAAGAGACCUUUUUUUUUGUUUUGUUUGUUUAUUAAAAUGUGGGACCAGACUCUUUCUGGUGGGCUGUAAUUGCAGUGUGGGUGAUGUCUGAAUAAGGGGAGAGUCUGUGCAUGUAACUGUGGUUGCAGCCAUCCCACCUUCUGCUGUGAUUUUCUGCGAUUGUCAGCUAACCAAAGUUGGACUAGGGCUAUUCAUGAAUGGGAGGCUUCCAAGAAAUGCCAAAACAGAGGAAGAGCACGUGACGUUGUUACUACUGAACUAUUCCAAGUGGUAUACUAUCUAAAAGUGUUGCCUUUGGUAUGAGAUAUUUAAAAAGGCUUUCUAAUUUGGUACCCUUAAAAAGCAUACAGUAUUAAUUUCCAAGAAUAUAUAUGAUGUUAACUGCAAGGUGCUGGGGUAAUAAUACAAAACUAAGCAAUGACAUGCUCUUGGCUUAAGUUCCCUUUGUAGUUUGCAGUUGGAUACAGGAUUUUUGCCUUCCAUUCCACGUUGCACAGAAACUACUUUGCAACAAUAUUAAACAAUUGUGUUCCUCCCUAGAGCUGGUUGCACUUCAUGGCUGAAGAAGCAACCCUUGUGCAUCCUGUUGUCCCUAUAUUGUUUUUUGAAUUGCCUAUAAAAUUCCACAGGGAUUUAUGAUUUUCUGGAACCAAUAAUAUUAAUAAUCAACAUAUAACUGUU
This is a long non-coding RNA of Gavialis gangeticus (Gharial), 1718 nucleotides long. RefSeq lists it as uncharacterized. The transcript is spliced from 2 exons. NCBI's taxonomy places the organism in Eukaryota, Metazoa, Chordata, Crocodylia, Gavialidae. The record is from RefSeq and is a predicted model, not a curated record.